CUUUCGACUAAUCAUAAACUCUUUUUGUAAUUCCUAUGUGUUGGUUUAGAAUGUCAAAAAUUGGCCGAUGUUGACUCCUAAAGACAUAUAAUUUGUUAGUUAGUUUGUGUGUCAAAUGAGUGUACUGUAUCUUGUGAAACAUUCGAUGAACCUACAAUAACCGUGAUUUGAACAAGGACAAACAUUCAGUUAAAAUACCGUAUUUCCGAACAAGUUAUAAACAAAAAUUGUCACGCGAAGAAUCAUAAAUUUGCACACAUCGACCGUCAUCAUUUGCGUCACUGUCGCAAUAACCAAGAUCUUAUUUUGAGCUUUUGAAGCAAACUGCGUAAUCCUCAAAUACAUUCAAAAAGUGAAGUAAAAAAAUAUAAAAAUCGAAAACCAACCAAAACCAAUGUGAUAUUUGUUUCGGAAAUAAAAUCUGGGUAACUACACCUUUA
This is a long non-coding RNA of Bradysia coprophila, 440 nucleotides long. The record is from RefSeq and is a predicted model, not a curated record. Lineage: Eukaryota; Metazoa; Arthropoda; Insecta; Diptera; Sciaridae.